This 8272-nucleotide long non-coding RNA is filed under the name Ananas comosus (pineapple). RNAcentral's name for it is "long non-coding RNA (ACOM_LNC002287)". The record is from RNAcentral. Lineage: Eukaryota; Viridiplantae; Streptophyta; Magnoliopsida; Poales; Bromeliaceae.
AUGGUGCUUGUAAAAGCACCAAACACUUGGUGCUUGUAAGUUUUUUACCGUUAGAUCUACUCCUCGGAUCAUUUUCAACCAUUAGAUUAAGUACCAAGUUUGUCACGCUCCGAGACCGCUACCCAUUUGGUCCGGUUCGGGCACGUCGAACAGACAUCGAACGGACAGCAUCUCCCCUGUCCGCCCAAAACUCAAGCACGGGAUCAUGUAUAAGAAUUCCCCCGGAAAUAAUUUAAUACAUAUAUAAUCCAUACAACGACAAUAGAAGCACCAUAAGUGCGUAACAACAAGAGCAAGUAACACAAAUAUCUAUACAAGUGCAUAAAAAGAGAGUUCUAUUUAUUACAUCAUGAUUUGUACAUUUAUACAAUUUACAUUUUCGAUUCAUCCAAAAUAUAGAUACAGCUUCAUUCACAUCUCUCCAAAAUGCAUCUCACAACCUAUACAUCAUCUACUCUCAUAUAUGUAGGCACCUCUAAUGCAACUGGAGGGAUACUAAUGCUAGGGCGCUAAGCCCUUACCGCGAUCCUCGCCCGGAGCGCUCGUACUCGGCCCUGCAAUAAAGUGGGGUGAGAACUAUUGUCCAUAUUUCACAGUGGGUUCGGCCGCCAACUCCGCCGAUCUCCCCACUAGGUCCAAGUGGGCACAAACAGAUAGAUAGGUAGAUAGAUAUAUGAAAGCAGUAACAACAUAGUAAGAAAGUUAUGCUACUGUGCCCGAAUCAUAUACAAUGUAUGCAUGCACAAUGUGAUUAAUAAAGUAAUCAACUAACAUGUCACUAUGUCCAAGAAGUAAUAUUGUUUACUUGUUCAUCAAUUCUUUUGGCUUAUCCAAUCCUUGGCCAACCCGGAGGUUCGCCCACGACUCACAUGCAUCUCGUGGUAAGGAGACUCAACUCCCUCACAAACCCGAGACCGUCUGCGGGGCCCCAUAAGGCUAUCCCAGGGACCCAUAAGACUAUCCCUCAUGUGACAAAACUCCGGAGCGCACACUUGUGAGGAGCAACCAACACAAGUUCUGAACAGACAGCGAGUAUGAUCCAAUCCUCUCAACUCGAUAAUACCCUACCCACUAGGGCUAACAGUCACUCGGGAACCCACCUAUCCCAAUGUCCAUAUGCAAGUGUUUAACUACACUAAGUUCUUAUUCAAUGACUCAUCACUAGGGAAUCCGCCUAUCCCUAAGUUCACAUGUCAAGUGUCAUUUUUACACUAAGUUAUAUGCUACUCGUUCUGUUGUCAUUGUUAUUUACAUGCCACUCGUUAUGUCUUAUCAACCAUCGAGUCCAUCUCUUAUCUCAGCACUAUAGGAUUCAAUGUCUCGACCCAAUCCUUAUCUAUCCAUUAUAUCAAGCAUUCAACUCACACUAAUGAUAUUGUCUAGAAAAGCAUAAGGAAAAAGGAAUUCCACAUUUAUCCUACAAUGCAUAUAUGCAAGAGAUGCAAGAUUUAAAAGGCACUAAGACAUAAAGAGGAGCCCGGUUGCUUCGGGAUGACACCACCCACCUUGUGGCGUUGUCACAACUGUAGGAAUGAAGUUCGCCGAUUUUACAACGUCGUCUCGGCCUCCUAGGCUGAAACGAAACUCGGAAGACCCCUUUUUGCCGUAACUUUGCACUCGCUCGACGAAUCGUCGAACCGUCUUCGCCUACGCGUUUAAACACCUAGCAGUUAGGUUUACACUUGAUCAAUUUAGAUCAAUACCCAACAAAUCACAAAACCCCAUUUUUGGAGCCCUAACUUGCAAUUAUGUAAGAAUCAAACUCUAAAUCCUCAAACUCAUGCAUAAAGCAUCUCUUUAGCAUGCUAGAGUUCUAUUUAAACCAAUUCUAGAGUAUAAAGUCCAAACCCUAGAAGUUCACCAUGAUUGAGCUUCAAGCUUUCCUCCAAAAGCUAGCUCCAAGGUGUAGAGGAAGAAGAAGAAGAUGAAGAUCCCUCUCCUUGCUUGCUUCUCCACCAAAUCCCUUCUCUUCUUCACCUUCUAGAGAGAGAGGAAGAGAGAUUAGAGGAAGAGAGGCUUUAGGUUUGUAUUUAGAGUUGAGGAAAUGAGAAGAGAGAGAGCAUACUCUCAUAUAGCCUCUACUUAUGCUACAAUUGCAUAAAAACCCCUCAACUUUGCUUUCAUGACACAGCCCAUCUCGGGUAGAUUGGGGCUACGGGGACCGGUCUCUCCCUACCAGGGACCGGUCCCUCAAGACCUCCCCAAAUCUACGCGUUCGGGAACCAGUCCCUAUGGCCCGGGGACUGGUUGCAUCACGCGUCGCCGCAACCACCAGCCGAUGGGACCGGUUCCUGAGAGCAAACCCGCGCAGACUAUGUUCGGAAACCGGUCCCUCCCACAAGGGACCGGUCCCCGAGAGUAAAUCUGCCAAGUGCAGGAUUUCAUAUCAUUUGCUCUCGCAGACUCCAUUCCAAUGCACCUUUGGCCAUUUUGAUGCCUUCGGCUUUUCCGAAGCACACCAAGUCGACAAUCAGUCGAUUCUAACUGAAGUCCAACUCUAGUAUUUCGAGAAUUUACUUCCUUACAUCCUCCCCACCUUUAAAAGAGUUUCGUCCUCGAAACGAACUCAAUUCUUAAUUAAACUCGAACUUAAUUCAUACCUUACUCACGCCUCAAAAAGAUGAGGGUACUUCGCUUUCAUUCCGUCCUCAAGUUCCCACGUAGCUUCGCGAUCGUUAUGCUUGGUCCAUCGAACCUUGACGUAGGGAAUUUCGCGAUUUCGCAACUUUCGUACUUCUCGAGCAAUAAUCAACGCCGGAUAUCCUUAUAGCUCAAGUCCUCGCGUAAUUCCGGCGGUUCAUAUGAUAAUACAUGCUCGGGAUCGUGGAUAUAUUUGUGGAGUUUGGAGACAUGAAAGACAUUGUGAACAUCGGCGAGUUUCGGCGGCAAUGCGAGCCGAUAAGCCACCGCACCAAUCCGCUCCAACACCUCGUAUGGUCCAAUGUAUCGGGGACUCAACUUUCCCCGCACUCCGAACCGCUUCACGCCUCUCAUGGGCGACACCUUUAAGAAGAUGCAGUCGCCCACCAUGAAUUCCAAAUCUCUACGGCGCUUAUUAGCAUAACUCCUUUGGCGAGCGAGACGGACUUUCUCCUCCGCCUCUCGCAAAACAUUGGGGCCUAGAACCGCACGCUCGCCUACCUCACUCCAAUGAAUAGGAGAUCGGCACUUCCCCGUAAAGAGCUUCGAACGGUGCCAUCCCUAUGCUAGUCUGAUAACUGUUGUUGUAGGCGAACUCGGCCAUCGGCAAAUGAUUACUCCAACUGCCCUUGUAAUCAAUGACACACGCCCGCAACAUAUCCUCCAGAAUUUGUAUAGUCCUCUCUGACUGUCCAUCUGUCUGAGGAUGAAAAGCAGUGCUGAAAUCGAGCCGUGUGCCCAACGCUUCUUGCAGGCUCUUCCAAAAAUGCGAAGUGAACCGGGGGUCUCGAUCCGAUACGAUUGACUUUGGCACCCCGUGCAACCUCACAAUAUCAUCAAGGUAUACCUGCGCUAGCCUAUCACCUGCCCUAGUCAUGUGGAUCGGUAGAAAGUGUGCCGACUUCGUCAAACGAUCCACAAUCACCCAGAUUGCAUCAUGGCCACUCGAUGAACGAGGCAAGCCGACCAUGAAGUCCAUGGUCACAUCCUCCCAUUUCCAAGUGGGGAUAGGUAAACUCUAAAGCUUUCCCGCUGGAAAUCGGCGCUCUGCUUUGACCUGCUCGCAUACUAAGCACUACGCCACAUAGCGUCCAAUAUCGACUUUCAUUCCCGGCCAUCAAUAAUGCUGUUUCAGAUCUUGAUACAUCUUGGUGCCGCCCGGGUGGAUGCUAUAAGGCGACCAAUGCGCUUCCUUCAGAAUCAGCUUUCGAAUUUCUUCAUUGUCCGGUACACACCACCGGUUCCAAAACCGAAGCACACCCUCGGUGUCUACACUGAAAUCGCCGGCGCGUCCACUCUCGAUGUAGCGCCGUACCUUUUGGAGAGCUGGAUCUGCAGGUUGCAAUCCUUUAAUCCUCUCCAACAGGGUUGGUUGGACAACGAGAGUUGACAACAGAGCCGGAACCUCUGGAGCUACAACCUCGAGAACAAUCCGCCCCAUUUCCUUCCAUAGGGGCUCCUAAUUCAUGACCCACAUCGCGAGGUUCUCCGCCGACUUUCUACUAAGUGCAUCAACGACUACAUUCGCCUUCCCAGGGUGGUAGAGAAUAUCGAGAUCAUAAUCCUUGGGCAGCUCUAACCACCGCCGUUGUCGCAUGUUCAACUCCUUUUGCGUGAACAAAUACUUUAGACUCUUGUGGUCAGUAUACACUUCGCAACGCGCGCCAUACAAGUAAUGCCUCCUCAACUUGAGAGAAAAUACCACCGCGGCUAACUCCAAGUCAUGGACAGGAUAGUUCUUCUCACAGCUUUUCAACUGACGGGACGCAUACGCGAUCACCUUCCCGCCUUGCAUCAGAACACACCCCAAUCCUGAAUAGGACGCGUCACUGUAAACCACAAAGUCCUCAUCUGGCACCGGUAAAGCAAGCACCGGAGUCGAAGUCAACUUCUCCUUCAACUCGUUGAAACUCUAGUCGCAUUCCUCACUUCAAACAAACUUGGUGUCCUUCUGAGUCAAACGGGUAAGUGGAAUAACUAUUUUCGAGAAACCCUCCACGAACCAUCUAUAAUAGCCUGCCAAGCCCACGAAGCUUCGAACCUCCGUGACAUUAGUCGGGCGCGGCCAAUCUUUGAUCGCCUCCACUUUCCUCGGGUCAACAGAUAUACCACCCUCGGAAAUAACAUGCCCCAGAAAUGCGACCUCUCGGAGCCAAAAAUCGCACUUCUUUAACUUUGCAUACAACUUCUCCUCCCCGCAGGAUUUGAAGCACUAGCCUUAGAUGCUCGGCAUGCUCCUCGUCACUACGUGAAUAGACCAAAAUGUCGUCUAUAAAAACCACGACGAAUCGGUCCAAGUACUCCUUGAAGACACGGUUCAUUAAAUCCAUGAAUGCUGCCGGGGCGUUCGUGAGCCCAAACAGCAUGACCGUAACUUCAUAGUGCCCAUACCGCGUGCGGAACGCGGUCUUCUGAACAUCUUUCGGCUUUAUCUUCAGCUGGUGAUAACCGGACUGUAAGUCUAUCUUUGAGUACACACACGACCCCUGCAGUUGAUCAAACAAAUCAUCGAUUCAGGGCAGUAGGUACUUAUUCUUGAUCGUGACCUUGUUCAACUCGCGAUAAUCCACACAGAGUCAAAACGAUCCAUCUUUCUUCUGCACAAAUAAUAUCGGGGCUCCCCACGGUGACACACUCGGCCUGAUGAAUUCCUUGUCGAGGAGAUCUUGCAAUUGAGCCCUCAACUCCUUUAACUCAGCCGGCGCCACCCGAUACGGGGCCUUUGAGAUCGGCGCCGUUCCGGGGAUCAAGUCUAUCACAAACUCGAUCUUUCGAUUAGGCGGCAUCCCCGGUAACUCCGUAGGAAACACGUCCAGAAAUUCCCGAACCACCGACAACUCCUCGAGUACCGGAACUACUCGAUCCACUUCCACGACGGUCGCCAAAUAAGCCACGCAACCGCUGUUAACCAAUUUCCUCGCUCUCAUCGCAGACACCGUCGCGACGAAGCAUGAGCUCUUGCACGCUCGAUAUGUGAACUCCUCCUGUCCUGGCUCCCGAAACGUUACCACCUUAUGUCUACAAUCAAUAGACGCGUAGUAUUUCGAAAGCCAGUCCAUGCCCAGUAUAAUGUCGAAGUCUUUUAACCUCUUGAGCAUCAACAUCCGAAUUGGCAUGAUCCAGUCGCCUACUUGAACUGGACACGUCGGACAUUCCUUACAAAUAACGAACGCACCCCCGGGGCCCUCUACUCGCCAGGUGCUCUUACUUGCAUGAAUGCCAAUGUCAUGCAUUUGUGCAAAUGAUCUACUAAUGAAUGAAUGCGUGGCACUUGUAUCAAACAUAGCCCUGGAGCGAACUCCGUCAAUUAAAACCAUACCUGCCACGACGUGGCGCUCCUCGGCUUCAACAGACUAUUCGGCUUGAGCGGCGAAUACCCGUCCGCUCAGAGCCAAUCGCGUCAUCUCAAGCUGACGUAGCGCCAUCGCACGUCCAGCCGAUGCUGCUGCCGGUGGGGUUCCUCUAUAGUGGGCCGGAGUCGCUGGAGCCGAUGCAACGGACGGGGCAAGCAAGGCUCCUCCAGGACAGUCACAAAUAAAGUGUCCCUCUUGCCCACACUUGAAGCAUUUCCCCUGCCACUGAUUGCAACGCGACGCGGGGUGGUCUCCACCACAAAUGACACACCGCGGCGCUCCACGGCCUAUGGACUGCGAUCGCGGAUACUUCAGGGGCUUCUUGGAACUGGAUUGUCCCCCCGAACCACCGCCUUGACGCUUCUUUCCCUUGUCCUUUGACUCGGCCAUCACCUCACGCUCCUCUCGCACGUGGGCAUCACCGUGCUCCGCCCACAAUGCUCGGUCAAAUAUCUCGGCAAAGGUCGUGAGCUUGAACAGUUGCACGGCCCUAUAUGUCCCUGGCCGAAGCCCUCGCAAAAACCAAUCGGCUCGGUCCCGAUCAUCUCAAACAACAUCCGGGACACAAUCUAUGAUAUGGGAGAAUUCCUGUUCAUAGUCCGCUACUGAACGAUCCCCCUGUCUCAACUUACGAAACUUCUCCUGUAGUUUCCGUUUCACAGUGUCGGGGAAGUAAUUUGCGAACAUUGUUUUCUUAAACUCCUCCCAUAACAUCAGCGGAAGGUCGGAAGAUGGUCUCGCUUCACCCGCUUCCACCAUACCUUCGCCGCCUUCUCGAGGCAAUGGGUGGCGAGGUAUACUUUAUCCUUCUCCAAGGUGGAUAAGUCCUCAAAGAGCGUCUCCAUUGAGUCAACCCACGACUCCACCAUCGACGGCUCCACCUUCUCCCCCUCGAAAAUAGGUAGAUCGAACUUCCUGAACUUGAUAAGAGCCGCCAACGCAUGCUCCCGUACCACCUCCUCGGCCGCCGCAUCGAGUGUCGCCGAACCCCAGGCCGCCGGAUGAACACUCGCCGGCGGGGGACGUGCCGCCACCGGAACCGCCGCUAUGCCCUCACCCUCAGCCGCCUCAGGCACGCGUGCCGAGGGGGCGAGCGGAUCACGACCUUCAGUCGCCAUCGCGGUCGCUGCCGCAACCUGCUGCUCCAUAAGCUCUUGGAGCCGCUCGAACCGACUCUCUUGGCGCUGCACCACGCCAGCUAGCGCAGUCAUUUGCACCCGCAACUCUUGCACUUCGCGAGAUCCAGCUUGCGCGGGCACCUCAAAAGGCGGUGCCGGAACGGAUCUACGCGUGUAGCGCCUUCGGGACAUUAGCUCCUGAAACAUAACCAACUUGGUUAAUCACCUUAACCCUUAAAACCUCAUCGCACUUACAAAACAACGCGACUCGACAUCGCAAUUAGGCGGAAGCACACAAGUGUACUCAUUCUAGACUUUUAGUGUCAUGUUGUCGGCCGCAAACACAACCACUGCGAGUCGAGGACUCAUACCACUUGAAUCUGUUUCCAGUCAUUACUAGAAACAUAGUUCAAUCCUGACCCAAUCGAUCAACUCCCACCACAUCAUAGGCUCACGUCUCACUCACGCACCUAUAGCCUUAAGGUUUCCAUCCUAGGGCCUCCUAGGUCACUCCUAGACUUCUCUCUUUACUUGCUCUUACUUGCUGCUCUGAUACCACAAACACCUGUCACGCCCCGAGACCGCUACCCAUUUGGUCUGGUUCGGGCACGUCGAAGACGUCGAACGGACAGUACCUCCCCUAUCCGCCCAAGGCUCAAGCACGGGAUCACGUACAAGAAUUCCCCUAGGAACAAUUCAAUACAUACAUGAUACAUACAACGACAAUAGAAGCACCACAAGUGCAUAACAACAAGAGCAAGUAACACAAGUAUCUAUACAAGUGCAUAAAAAGAGAGUUCUAUCUAUUACAUCAUGAUUUGUACAUUUAUACAAUUUACAUUUUCGUUUCAUCCAAAAUGUAGAUACAGGUUCAUUCACAUCUCUCCAAAAUGCAUCUCACAACCUAUACAUCAUCUACUCUCAUAUGUGUAGGCACCUCUAAUGCAACUGGAGGGAUACUAAUGCUAGGGCACUAAGCCCUUACCGCGAUCCUCGCCCGGAGCGCUCGUACUCGGCCCUGCAAUAAAGUGGGACGAGAACUAUUGUCCAUAGUUCCUAGUGGGUUCGGCCGCCGACUCCGCCGAUCUCCCCACUAGGUCCAAGUGGGCACAAGCAGAUAGAUAGGUAGAUAGAUAUAUGAAAACAGUAACAACAUAGUAA